RNAcentral lists this ribosomal RNA (382 nucleotides) under grassland soil bacterium TSA-7. Its description in RNAcentral is "bacterial SSU rRNA". It matches the Rfam family "Bacterial small subunit ribosomal RNA", at positions 101 to 496 of the family's 1533-position model. The record is from RNAcentral.
AACGGGUGAGUAACACGUGAGUAACCUGCCCCAGACUCCGGGAUAAGCCUUGGAAACGAGGUCUAAUACUGGAUACGAGAUGCCCCUGCAUGGGGAGUGUCUGGAAAGAUUUAUCGGUCUGGGAUGGACUCGCGGCCUAUCAGCUUGUUGGUGGGGUAAUGGCCUACCAAGGCGACGACGGGUAGCCGGCCUGAGAGGGCGACCGGCCACACUGGGACUGAGACACGGCCCAGACUCCUACGGGAGGCAGCAGUGGGGAAUAUUGCACAAUGGGCGAAAGCCUGAUGCAGCGACGCCGCGUGAGGGAUGAAGGCCUUCGGGUUGUAAACCUCUUUCAGCAGGGAAGAAGCGCAAGUGACGGUACCUGCAGAAGAAGCGCCGG